This 75-nucleotide antisense RNA is filed under the name Streptomyces albus subsp. albus DSM 41398. Its description in RNAcentral is "ASpks TB sRNA". It matches the Rfam family "ASpks TB sRNA". The record is from Rfam by way of RNAcentral. Lineage: Bacteria; Bacillati; Actinomycetota; Actinomycetes; Kitasatosporales; Streptomycetaceae.
CUUCACCGAACCCAGCCACAACGGCUCGGCCCCGGCACGCUCACGCCCAUACGUCGCAAGCAGCGCCUGCGCCUC